Molecule: transfer RNA, 85 nt
Filed under: Felis catus (domestic cat)
Lineage: Eukaryota; Metazoa; Chordata; Mammalia; Carnivora; Felidae
Also listed under: 1 other name
Rfam family: tRNA
About the family: Transfer RNA (tRNA) molecules are approximately 80 nucleotides in length. Their secondary structure includes four short double-helical elements and three loops (D, anti-codon, and T loops).
Source: Rfam by way of RNAcentral
GCCUGGGUGGCUCAGUUGGUUAAGCAUCUGACUUCGGCUCAGGUUAUGAUCUCACAGUCCAUGGGUUUGAACCCUAUGUCAGGCU